AAUAAAUGAUUUACUAGUCUACUGGUUAAGUGUUAGUGAAAUUGCCAUUGAAACCCAAGUUUAAGUCCUCUUCCUUUCAUUUUUUUAAUUUUCAGAACUCCCUUGUUUUUAACCCUAUUAUCGCCCUUAGGGUUUAAAAAACCUAGUAUUUAGACAUCUUUUUCCCAUUUGUGUGUUCACAUUGCCUCCUUUCAAAACCUAGCCUAUUUUUCUUUCUUGUAGUUUUCUGUCAACUAUUUCUUUUUCUCCUCCCUUUGUGCUACCCCAUACCUUACCUCCUCCUAUCUUUUUCUUUCUUUCUUUUGGUUGUGCACCACCCUCCAUCUCCUUGCACCACCGUCGCCGCCAUCGCAACAUUUGCACAUUGUCGCCCUCCUUUCGCCACCUGCUUUAUCAUAGCUCUCUCUCCCUUAUUCUUUCUCCUCUCAUCCUUUUAUUUUAUUCUAUUCAAUCAUCAUAUUCUCUACUUGGUUAUUGUCGAAUCAUCUCUGUGCUCAAAUCUCUACUAACUUUUUUGUUUCCGACCUAUAAGUAAUAAGUGUAAGUGUUUUUCAUGAGCAGAUCUCGUGUUCGAAUGUGUGAUCAUCUCUUUUUUCUUUAUUUUCAAAUAUGUUAAUCAGUUAUAUAGGUUCCUUCUCAAAUCUGUUAAUGGUCGAAUCUAAUUGUGUGCUUUUGUGUGUGUUUAACGUUCGAGGUGCAAUUCUAGAUGCGUCAGACCAGAUAUGAUUUAUAAGAGUGUUUUUGUUUCAGAAAUAUACAUCAAACAAAAGAGUAAGUGUUCUUUUAUUUAGUAAUCAGAUCUAUAUAUCUUUUCCAAAUCUAGCAUAAUUGAAUCUAUUAUGGUGUGUUUUGUGUGCUUUGUUCAUUCAAAUUUCAGAUCUGGACGAAAUCUGAUCAAAUCUGUAGCAAAGGAAUAUAAAUGAUUAGAUCUAGUGUUGUUUGGGCGUACGGAUUAAGGUGUGGGUUCUAACAAAAUGUAGUCUGCAUAAGUAUUGUCCAUAAGUAUUUUAUGUGUGUUUGGUAGUAUCCGAAUGAUCUAUGCCUUAAUUGUGACUAACUGAAUGCAUUCGUGCUUUUGGUGAUAGCUGAAUGAGAUUUGAUCCCUCUACUAGGGUUGGCCAAAUGUUAGUGCCUCUUUUGACCUAAAUUAUGUAUACUGUUAUUCUAUGUUUUGUUCCGAUUCGUAUGUUUUGUGAUAUUAUGGCAUAAUAUUGUUAUCAUUAUUUUGAGCACAUGUUAAAACAUAUUUACUAUCACCAUUUUACUGAACGCAUGAUGAAAAGCAUGCCCACUAUUUCUGCUAAAAUUGAUUCCAUUUUGAAGCAUGCCUACUGUAUUGAUUCUGACUUUGUUAUGCCAUAGUGCAUUACAUGGGGAUCGGGAUGAUAUGUAAGGAGGAAGUUCUGACAGCUUAUCUUCAAUUCUAGUGGUUUAUCCACAUAUUUCUAGCAGUUUAUCUGCAAAUAUGAGUGGCUUUUCCAUAAUACGGUGUCUAGGGAUGGAUGAGUUAUGGGGCACUCUUACUGUGGUGUGUAGCAGUUGAUGGGUAAGAAUUUUCUUUGAAAUUGAAAAAUAAACUGCACUGUUAAAUAUGACCAUGUACAUACAUGAUAUAAUUUAUUUUAUUUGUUAUACUAUGUUACUGUUAGCUUGUUAUACUAUAUUACUGUUAGCUUGCUUGCUAAGACUCACACUGAGCUCUAUAGAUCACUCUUUAGUUUACUGUCUUUACAAAGAAUCCACGAGGUUAGGAUUUGGACUCGGCACAUGGAGGAUCGUCUCGAACUUUUAUUUUAUUUUAAAAAUUACUUUUACUUUAAUUUAUUAAUUUUGAUUUGGGGACUGUAAUAAUUUAUUUGGACUGUGGCAUGAGUUAUUUUUUGGUUGGUUUUAAAUUACAUUACAAGCAAAAAUAUUUGAAAUAGAACAAACUUAGGAUUAUGCUUAAAAAAGCAUGAAACCUGGUUUGAAAUAUAAAAUUGGUUAAAAACACUUUUUUCGUUAUAUAAUUGACAAUUGAUUUCUGA
Molecule: long non-coding RNA, 2027 nt
Filed under: Gossypium barbadense (sea-island cotton)
Lineage: Eukaryota; Viridiplantae; Streptophyta; Magnoliopsida; Malvales; Malvaceae
Description: long non-coding RNA (GBAR_LNC019202)
Source: RNAcentral